This is a long non-coding RNA of Syngnathus acus (greater pipefish), 160 nucleotides long. RefSeq lists it as uncharacterized. The record is from RefSeq and is a predicted model, not a curated record. The transcript is spliced from 2 exons. NCBI's taxonomy places the organism in Eukaryota, Metazoa, Chordata, Actinopteri, Syngnathiformes, Syngnathidae.
AUGCAAGACUGAAUGACAGAAAGAUUAAGCUUGGAAUUGAUUGCAAAGCAGUCUUGUGUUAGGAGGACGGUGAUUUGAAGACCUGCAUGUUUCCAAGACCAUGGACAGGUAUGAUUAGUUUGACAUCUGUACUGUAGAUUAAAAAAAGACAACAGUGAAG